UUAACAUGGACAGAGAGGACAUCAAGAUGCUGGUGUCCAAAUGGUGGGAUAUCUACAACGACACGUCCUUGGAUCUGAGUGCAGAAGACGCCAUCGUUCAAGCUGAAGAUCAGACCGUGUCGAGGUCGUCCAUCAUGGCUUCCAUGCCUGACCCCGCUAUCUCCUAUGUUCCUGCACCCUCUGCCGCGUGAGAAGCUAAGACAAGUCUUUCAAAGAGAGUGUUUAAAUUAGUCGGUAGUCGAUCUGUCCAAGCUGCAGAUCAGACGGUAUCGAGGGUAUCAGUCACGGCUUCCGUGCCUGACCACCGCUAUUUUCCUAUGUUCCUGCAGCCUCUGCCGCUUGAAGCUGGAGAGGUCUUUUGGAGUGUCUAAAUUAGUUGGUGUAUUCAAUCCUUUUACACCUAUUCCAGCUUUGACCUGGUAAUUAGUGUUCUAAAAUAUCUUGGCC
This 447-nucleotide long non-coding RNA is filed under the name Eucalyptus grandis. Its description in RNAcentral is "long non-coding RNA (EGRA_LNC004910)". The record is from RNAcentral. Lineage: Eukaryota; Viridiplantae; Streptophyta; Magnoliopsida; Myrtales; Myrtaceae.